This 342-nucleotide ribosomal RNA is filed under the name uncultured bacterium. RNAcentral's name for it is "bacterial SSU rRNA". It matches the Rfam family "Bacterial small subunit ribosomal RNA", at positions 28 to 334 of the family's 1533-position model. The record is from RNAcentral.
GAUAAACGCUGGCGGCGCACAUAAGGCAUGCAAGUCGAACGGAAGUCGUUACGAAAUGAAUUGAAGAUUUAUCUGAUUGAAGUUUUGUAACAAUGGCUUUAGUGGCGGACUGGUGAGUAACACGUAAGCAACCUACCUAUUAGAGGGGAAUAACAAUGAGAAAUCAUUGCUAAUACCGCAUAAGCUUGUAGCAUCGCAUGAUGCAGCAAGAAAAGGAGCAAUCCGCUAAUAGAUGGGCUUGCGGCUGAUUAGCUAGUUGGUUAGGUAACGGCUGACCAAGGCAACGAUCAGUAGCCGGGCUGAGAGGCUCUGCGGCCACAUUGGGACUGAGAUACGGCCCAG